This 497-nucleotide ribosomal RNA is filed under the name uncultured bacterium. Its description in RNAcentral is "partial 16S ribosomal RNA". It matches the Rfam family "Bacterial small subunit ribosomal RNA", at positions 28 to 507 of the family's 1533-position model. The record is from RNAcentral.
GAUGAACGCUGGCGGCGUGCCUAAUACAUGCAAGUCGAGCGAACGGACGAGAAGCUUGCUUUUCUGAUGUUAGCGGCGGACGGGAGAGUAACACGUGGAUAACCUACCUAUAAGACUGGGAUAACUUCGGGAAACCGGAGCUAAUACCGGAUAAUAUUUUGAACCGCAUGGUUCAAAAGUGAAAGACGGUCUUGCUGUCACUUAUAGAUGGAUCCGCGCUGCAUUAGCUAGUUGGUAAGGUAACGGCUUACCAAGGCAACGAUGCAUAGCCGACCUGAGAGGGGGAUCGGCCACACUGGAACUGAGACACGGUCCAGACUCCUACGGGAGGCAGCAGUAGGGAAUCUUCCGCAAUGGGCGAAAGCCUGACGGAGCAACGCCGCGUGAGUGAUGAAGGUCUUCGGAUCGUAAAACUCUGUUAUUAGGGAAGAACAUAUGUGUAAGUAACUGUGCACAUCUUGACGGUACCUAAUCAGAAAGCCACGGCUAACUACGUG